GUGGGGAAUAUUCCGCAAUGGACGAAAGUCUGACGGAGCAACGCCGCGUGAGUGAUGAAGGUUUUCGGACUGUAAAGCUCUGUUGUUUAGGACGAAAGUGCCUGUUGCAAAUAGUUACAGGUAUUGACGGUACUGAACGAGGAAGCCACGGCUAACUACGUGCCAGCAGCCGCGGUAAUACGUAGGUGGCAAGCGUUGUCCGGAAUUAUUGGGCGUAAAGAGCAUGUAGGCGGGAAUCUAAGUCUGUUGUGAAAAUGCGGGGCUCAACCCCGUAUUGCGAUGGGAAACGGGGUUCUUGGGGGCAAGAGAGGGAAGGGGAAAUCCCAGUGGAAGGGUGAAAUGCGUAGAUAUUGGGAAGAACAACAGUGGCGAAGGCGCCUUUCUGGACUGUGUCUGACGCUGAGAUGCGAAAGCCAGGGUAGCGAACGGGAUUAGAUACCCGGGUAGUCC
Molecule: ribosomal RNA, 450 nt
Filed under: uncultured bacterium
Lineage: Bacteria
Description: partial 16S ribosomal RNA
Rfam family: Bacterial small subunit ribosomal RNA
Source: RNAcentral